CGACCCGGAUAAUUGCUAGCAUUGCUAGAGGAAAGUCCAUGCUCGCACGGGCUGUGAUGCUCGUAGUGAUUGCGCUAGCGGAAAAAAUAACGCUAGGCACGUAGGAGUACGUGACGGCGGAACUAGUCUAAAACUUCGGUCAUGAUAAUGUUCCCCAAGGUGCCACAGAGACGCAGUAAGCGGAAACGCGGAAAUGAAACGUUGGUAAACCCCA
This 214-nucleotide RNase P RNA is filed under the name Candidatus Fiminaster equi. Its description in RNAcentral is "partial RNase P RNA component class B". It matches the Rfam family "Bacterial RNase P class B", at positions 1 to 227 of the family's 365-position model. Rfam says of the family: Ribonuclease P (RNase P) is a ubiquitous endoribonuclease, found in archaea, bacteria and eukarya as well as chloroplasts and mitochondria. Its best characterised activity is the generation of mature 5'-ends of tRNAs by cleaving the 5'-leader elements of precursor-tRNAs. Cellular RNase Ps are ribonucleoproteins. Lineage: Bacteria; Bacillati; Bacillota; Bacilli. The record is from RNAcentral.